AUGCACGCUGGCGGCGUGCCUCAUCCCUGCAAGUCGCGCGAACAGACGAGGAGCUUGCUCCUCUGACGUUAGCGGCGGACGGGUGAGUAACACGUGGAUAACCUACCUAUAAGACUGGGAUAACUUCGGGAAACCGGAGCUAAUACCGGAUAAUAUAUUGAACCGCAUGGUUCAAUAGUGAAAGACGGUUUUGCUGUCACUUAUAGAUGGAUCCGCGCCGCAUUAGCUAGUUGGUAAGGUAACGGCUUACCAAGGCAACGAUGCGUAGCCGACCCGAGAGGGUGAUCGGCCACACUGGAACUGAGACACGGUCCAGACUCCUACGGGAGGCAGCAGUAGGGAAUCUUCCGCAAUGGGCGAAAGCCUGACGGAGCAACGCCGCGUGAGUGAUGAAGGUCUUCGGAUCGUAAAACUCUGUUAUUAGGGAAGAACAAAUGUGUAAGUAACUAUGCACGUCUUGACGGUACCUAAUCAGAAAGCCACGGCUAACUACGUG
RNAcentral lists this ribosomal RNA (496 nucleotides) under uncultured bacterium. Its description in RNAcentral is "partial 16S ribosomal RNA". It matches the Rfam family "Bacterial small subunit ribosomal RNA", at positions 29 to 507 of the family's 1533-position model. The record is from RNAcentral.